GCACCGGUAGUAUAAUGGCUAGUAUGUCGGCCUUCCAAGUCGAUAAUCGGGGUUCAAAUCCCCGCCGGUGCA
Molecule: transfer RNA, 72 nt
Filed under: Candidatus Woesearchaeota archaeon
Lineage: Archaea; Nanobdellati; Candidatus Woesearchaeota
Description: tRNA-Gly
Rfam family: tRNA
About the family: Transfer RNA (tRNA) molecules are approximately 80 nucleotides in length.
Source: RNAcentral